The sequence is a transfer RNA, 73 nucleotides long. It matches the Rfam family "tRNA". Rfam says of the family: Transfer RNA (tRNA) molecules are approximately 80 nucleotides in length. Their secondary structure includes four short double-helical elements and three loops (D, anti-codon, and T loops). The record is from Rfam.
GCCGAUGUAGCUCAGUUGGUAGAGCAAUUGCUUCGUAAGCAAUGGGUCGGAGGUUCAAAUCCUCUCAUCGGCU